Long non-coding RNA from Clupea harengus (Atlantic herring), 1214 nucleotides. Lineage: Eukaryota; Metazoa; Chordata; Actinopteri; Clupeiformes; Clupeidae. The record is from Ensembl.
CUGGUUAGGCCUGCAACCAAGAAUAUGGAUUUGUUUUACAUUGGAAUAAAUGGGGAAACACUUUGCUACAUUUUGUUCCCUUCCCGAAAGGGUUAUCUAAUGCUAGGAAUAGCCUCCCUAGCACCCUGCCAGGCUAUUUGCUAGAUUAACAUAAUAAUUUGCUAUCCACCUAGUAACGACCACUAUUUACCCAAUUUGUAGUUUAGUAAUCCUGCCCUACCAUAAUGUAUGUAGGCUAUAACUUGUCUUGAAAUAUAUAUCUAUCACAAUAGCCGUAGGUUACCUGUUGCAUGGUUGAUAAACACAAAAAUACCAAAGGACAAUAAGAACUUAUUCAUUUCAUUGAAUCGUUUUUUGAUAGUUUCUAUAGUGUUUGUAGGAUAAGCAUAUGAUUUUGUUAUAAAUUGCUACUAUUUUCCCCCCAAAAUAAUAAAAACCAUGACGGAUAUAAGUUUGCCUUUUCAAGAGGGUAUAUAGCAUUAGACACUGCCAGCAGUGUAAUAAUAGCUCGUCUUUGAACCCAAGCAUAUCUGAGAGGCGAAAAUUUUACACAGUACUGGGGGGGGCCCGUCGAGAGACGUAUGUAUAUCUUUGGGCCCGGCUACGGGCCCUGACACCCCACGGGCCCAGGUGCUGCUGCACCUCCUAUAGUUACGCCCCUGUUCACACCUCAGUUUGCUUCCUGAGCCCAGGUGUCUGAGCAAUACCAGUGUGGGGUCCUUUCCUUUGUUACCAUGAUAAGGAAAGCAGGCCCUCCAAGGAAGGGAAGGUUUUCGCAGCCUUCAGUCGGCAUGCCUGUGGAUAGUUAUCUCGGUCACCCCUGCCCACACAUCACUAUGCCCAGACUUGAUACAUAUUUAAAUAUAGAGUGCACAUAAUGUAAUUCAUAUCAAUAGUGUAAAUCAUUUUGUAGUAGUAUAUUAGUCUUAGUAACUUGUUAUCAUGAAUAUUCUAGUGUUUAUACUGAUUGUUAAUAUUCUACUAAUAUUCUACCCACACUGGUUAUUAUACUGAUUGUUAAUAGUCUACAGACACAGAUUGUUGAGUUCAUUCACAUAUUUUCCACCACACUGCCCCUGUUUCCUUCUUUCAUCCCUCUCACUGAGAGUGAGGUCUCCAAAAUUCUAACAGGUAGCCAUCCUACUACAUGCCCGCUGGACCCCAUCCCAUCCAACAUCCUUGAAGCCAUAUCGCCUGCCGUCUUACCGGCAAUC